CCUACGGAGGCUGCAGUGGGGAAUAUUGGACAAUGGGCGAAAGCCUGAUCCAGCCAUGCCGCGUGUGUGAAGAAGGCCUUCGGGUUGUAAAGCACUUUCAGUGGGGAAGAAAGCCUUGGGGCUAAUACCCUCGAGGAAGGACAUCACCCACAGAAGAAGCACCGGCUAACUCCGUGCCAGCAGCCGCGGUAAUACGGAGGGUGCGAGCGUUAAUCGGAAUUACUGGGCGUAAAGCGCGCGUAGGCGGUCUGAUAAGCCGGUUGUGAAAGCCCCGGGCUCAACCUGGGAACGGCAUCCGGAACUGUCAGGCUAGAGGGCAGGAGAGGAAGGUAGAAUUCCCGGUGUAGCGGUGAAAUGCGUAGAGAUCGGGAGGAAUACCAGUGGCGAAGGCGGCCUUCUGGACUGACACUGACGCUGAGGUGCGAAAGCGUGGGUAGCAAACAGGAUUAGAUACCCGAGUAGUC
Molecule: ribosomal RNA, 464 nt
Filed under: Vreelandella stevensii
Lineage: Bacteria; Pseudomonadati; Pseudomonadota; Gammaproteobacteria; Oceanospirillales; Halomonadaceae
Description: partial 16S ribosomal RNA
Rfam family: Bacterial small subunit ribosomal RNA
Source: RNAcentral